GCUUUCUAACAUUCCUUUAACUUGAUCAUGUGAUCACGGUAUAUAUAAUAUGUAAAUUUCAUAUGAUGCUGACAUUCUGAUUAGAUAAUUACUUUUAAGGCUGUUAUCCUCUUUUUGUAAUAUCAACAAAUAAGGGGAGAUAAUUAAGGGUAUAUACCCUUUAAAUCUAAUGACAUUCAAAGAAAACUGUUUAAAAUUACUAAACAUAUCAAACUAGAAUGUUUAUUUAAACCACAUCUGUUUGUAACAUCAUAUUGUGAGAAUU
RNAcentral lists this long non-coding RNA (265 nucleotides) under Mytilus galloprovincialis (Mediterranean mussel). Lineage: Eukaryota; Metazoa; Mollusca; Bivalvia; Mytilida; Mytilidae. The record is from RNAcentral.